RNAcentral lists this non-coding RNA (159 nucleotides) under bovine gut metagenome. Its description in RNAcentral is "Lysine riboswitch". It matches the Rfam family "Lysine riboswitch aptamer". From Rfam's summary of the family: Riboswitches are metabolite binding domains within certain messenger RNAs that serve as precision sensors for their corresponding targets. Allosteric rearrangement of mRNA structure is mediated by ligand binding, and this results in modulation of gene expression. The record is from RNAcentral.
AAGAUAGAGGCGCGAUUUGCUAUCAGUAGCUUUUGUGCAAAGCCCGGCGGGGUAAUGCAAAAGUGAAAGGAGCGGUCGCCGAAGGCGAUUGCCGGCGGGUAAUCGACCUGGUAAAACGGAAUAAGAUCUGUUUUACUGUCGCGUUUGCGGAGAGCUAUC